RNAcentral lists this ribosomal RNA (314 nucleotides) under uncultured bacterium. RNAcentral's name for it is "partial 16S ribosomal RNA". It matches the Rfam family "Bacterial small subunit ribosomal RNA", at positions 499 to 807 of the family's 1533-position model. The record is from RNAcentral.
UUAUAAGAGACAGCAGCAGCCACGGUAAUACAGAGGGUGCGAGCGUUAAUCGGAUUUACUGGGCGUAAAGCGUGCGUAGGCGGCUUCUUAAGUCGGAUGUGAAAUCCCUGAGCUUAACUUAGGAAUUGCAUUCGAUACUGGGAAGCUAGAGUAUGGGAGAGGAUGGUAGAAUUCCAGGUGUAGCGGUGAAAUGCGUAGAGAUCUGGAGGAAUACCGAUGGCGAAGGCAGCCAUCUGGCCUAAUACUGACGCUGAGGUACGAAAGCAUGGGGAGCAAACAGGAUUAGAUACCCGCGUAGUCCCUGUCUCUUAUAC